This 91-nucleotide small nuclear RNA is filed under the name Otolemur garnettii (small-eared galago). The record is from RNAcentral. Lineage: Eukaryota; Metazoa; Chordata; Mammalia; Primates; Galagidae.
AUAGUGAGACUAUCUCAAAAAAAAAAAAAAAAAAUUAGCAGGGACUCUGUGCAAGGAUGACACAUAAAUUCAUGAAGUGUUCCUUAUUUUU